GCCUGGGUGGCUUAGUCGGUUAAGCAUCUGACUUUGGCUCAGGUCACGAUCUUGUGUUUCAUGAGUUCAAGCCCCACAUCGGGCU
Molecule: transfer RNA, 85 nt
Filed under: Felis catus (domestic cat)
Lineage: Eukaryota; Metazoa; Chordata; Mammalia; Carnivora; Felidae
Rfam family: tRNA
About the family: Transfer RNA (tRNA) molecules are approximately 80 nucleotides in length. Their secondary structure includes four short double-helical elements and three loops (D, anti-codon, and T loops).
Source: Rfam by way of RNAcentral